CGUAAACGAUGGAUACUAGCUGUUGGGAUUUAUCUCAGUGGCUAAGCGAAAGUGAUAAGUAUCCCACCUGGGGAGUACGUUCGCAAGAAUGAAACUCAAAGGAAUUGACGGGGGCCCGCACAAGCGGUGGAGCAUGUGGUUUAAUUCGAUGAUACGCGAGGAACCUUACCAAGGCUUAAAUGUAGAUUGACAGGACUGGAAACAGUUUUUCCUUCGGGCAAUUUACAAGGUGCUGCAUGGCUGUCGUCAG
This 250-nucleotide ribosomal RNA is filed under the name uncultured bacterium. RNAcentral describes it as "partial 16S ribosomal RNA". It matches the Rfam family "Bacterial small subunit ribosomal RNA", at positions 801 to 1058 of the family's 1533-position model. The record is from RNAcentral.